Molecule: non-coding RNA, 73 nt
Organism: Rhamnusium bicolor
Lineage: Eukaryota; Metazoa; Arthropoda; Insecta; Coleoptera; Cerambycidae
Source: the annotation of a GenBank genome assembly
AUCUUCGUGGUCGAAUGGUAAGAUUAUUUGCCUCUCAUCCUGGAGUCCCGGGUUCGAUCCCCGGUCGAGGAUC